UACGUAGGGGGCGAGCGUUGUCCGGAAUGACUGGGCGUAAAGGGCGCGUAGACGGCUGUCUAAGUCUGGAGUGAAAGUCCUGCUUUCAAGGUGGGAAUUGCUUUGGAGACUGGAUGGCUUGAGUGCGGAAGAGGUAAGUGGAAUUCCCAGUGUAGCGGUGAAAUGCGUAGAGAUUGGGAGGAACACCAGUGGCGAAGGCGACUUACUGGGCCGUAACUGACGUUGAUGCGCGAAAGCGUGGGGAGCGAACAGGAUUAGAAACCCCAGUAGUCC
Molecule: ribosomal RNA, 273 nt
Filed under: uncultured prokaryote
Description: partial 16S ribosomal RNA
Rfam family: Bacterial small subunit ribosomal RNA
Source: RNAcentral